RNAcentral lists this ribosomal RNA (439 nucleotides) under uncultured bacterium. RNAcentral describes it as "partial 16S ribosomal RNA". It matches the Rfam family "Bacterial small subunit ribosomal RNA", at positions 339 to 795 of the family's 1533-position model. The record is from RNAcentral.
CUACGGGACGCUGCAGUGGGGAAUAUUGCACAAUGGAGGAAACUCUGAUGCAGCAACGCCGCGUGGAGGAUGACACUUUUCGGAGCGUAAACUCCUUUUAUAUAGGAAGAAGAUGACGGUACUAUAUGAAUAAGCGCCGGCUAACUCCGUGCCAGCAGCCGCGGUAAUACGGAGGGCGCAAGCGUUACUCGGAAUCACUGGGCGUAAAGAGCGUGUAAGCGGAUUAAAAAGUCAGAAGUGAAAUCCUAUAGCUUAACUAUAGAACUGCUUCUGAAACUCUUAAUCUAGAAUAUGGGAGAGGUAGAUGGAAUUUCUGGUGUAGGGGUAAAAUCCGUAGAGAUCAGAAGGAAUACCGAUUGCGAAGGCGAUCUACUAGAACAUUAUUGACGCUGAGACGCGAAAGCGUGGGGAGCAAACAGGAUUAGAUACCCGCGUAGUC